AUCUUUCUUCUAUAAAAUUUAUAUUAAUCUAUAAAUAAAAAAGUCUAUAUUCUUUAGAGUGACGAUAAGACCCUAAAACCUUUACAAACUACUUGUUGUUUUGCUGGGGCGGCAAAUCAUAUUUCAUAAUUUUCUAAAACAUAAUGAAUGAAUUUGACUAACUAAAAAUAAAUCUAAGAAGGUACUUUAGGGAUAACAGUAUAAUUUUUAUUUAGAGUAACUUAUCGACAUAAAAGAUUAUAACCUCGAUGUUGAAUUGAUAAACCUUUAUUAAGCAGCCAUAAUGCAAGGAAGUCUGUUCGACUUAUAUAGUAUCACGUGAUCUGAGUUCAAACCGA
This 338-nucleotide ribosomal RNA is filed under the name Trichoniscus lindbergi intermedius. RNAcentral's name for it is "partial large subunit ribosomal RNA". The stretch from base 61 to 338 matches the Rfam family "Bacterial large subunit ribosomal RNA", at positions 2079 to 2619 of the family's 2925-position model. The record is from RNAcentral. Lineage: Eukaryota; Metazoa; Arthropoda; Malacostraca; Isopoda; Trichoniscidae.